AUGGGUAACCAACCAUCCUCAGCCUGCACUCCCCUUGAGUGUAUUCUGAAUCACUGGGACUCCGUUGACCCUCAGACUGUAGAGAAAGAGGAAAAAACCUUUUCCCUCCUCUGUCCUCUCUUCCAGCCAGGCAUGACCAUGUAACAGUUUGGGCUGCUGAGCCAGAAGGGAAAGAGUACUACUGCUAGACUUCCAGGAAGGCUGCUCUAAGAAAGAUGACUCAGAGGUUGCACUUUUUUAGUUUUGGGGGUUUUUUUCCCUCUACUUCCUGCUUCUUGGAACUAGGACAUGAUGUCUGGAACUCUAGCAGCCAUUUUGGACCAUGAGGUGAUUGUGCGACUAGAAGACACAUCGUAGAAUGGAGCACCAAGACGAAAGCCCCCAAAGCUGCCCUAUAAGACCUGGACUUCAAACCAGCAAACUUCUUCCAUGUGAGAGAGAAAUAAGCUUAGGUUUUGUUUCUGCCAGUGUUAUCUUUGUUUUCGGUUAUGAGCCACUAAAUGUGAUCCCACUUGUUACCCCAGUCAUUCUCCCAACUUCCUAGACCCAUUAAUAGCAUUCUACACUCACAGUCCAUCAGUGGUGCAAGACUACAACACGAUUUUAAAUCCAAAAGUGAUAUAAAUGAUUUUGUGAUUCUGU
Long non-coding RNA from Homo sapiens (human), 642 nucleotides. RefSeq lists it as uncharacterized. The record is from RefSeq and is a predicted model, not a curated record. The transcript has 2 exons. NCBI's taxonomy places the organism in Eukaryota, Metazoa, Chordata, Mammalia, Primates, Hominidae.